GGAUAACCGUAGUAAUUCUAGAGCUAAUACAUGUAUAAAGUCUUGUAGACUGCAUUUAUUAGAAUGAAAACCAUAGGUUUCGGCCUAUUCGUGAGUAAUAAUAACUAAUCAUAUCGUAUGCUUAUGUAACGAUGUGUCUUUCAAGUUUCUGCCCCAUCAGCUUUCGAUGGUAGUGUAUUGGACUACCAUGGCAGUAACGGGUAAGGAAGA
This 210-nucleotide ribosomal RNA is filed under the name Blastocystis sp. subtype 3. RNAcentral describes it as "partial 18S small subunit ribosomal RNA". It matches the Rfam family "Eukaryotic small subunit ribosomal RNA", at positions 141 to 368 of the family's 1831-position model. Lineage: Eukaryota; Bigyra; Opalinata; Blastocystidae. The record is from RNAcentral.